AUGCCCGUCAAACUUGUCGGCAUUGAUGUCGAGUACACGCACUACGAGAAGCCACAGCGGGUAGCAGUGCUCCAGCUAUGCGUAGAAAAAGAAUGCCUUGUCUACCACAUCUCUGCAGCUAAAGACAUGCCAAUGGAACUAGACAAAUUCCUCAUGAAUGAUGAGUACACCUUCGUCGGAUUCGCUAUUGAAGGAGACACAAUCAAGCUGAAGGUAUCUGGUUUGGAGAUCAACUCCGACAACUACAUUGAUAUUCAGGUGGAAUGGAGAGACCCAUACAAUAAAAAGAAGUUUGACUGUUUGGCUGAUGUUGCCGGCAGGAUGAUAGACAUUCACUACCGGGACAUGAAGAAAAAAAUUAACCGCAAGGAGGACCAUACUUUGUGGGGAUUUUGCCCACUGCCAGAAAAGCUUAUCAAGUAUGCAGCAAUAGAUGCAUUCACAACACACGAGUCAUGGAGAAUCAUCUACGAUGUCAUAAUGGGACUGGACAGGGCAAAAAGAGAAAAAGAAGCAAAGAAGAAGAAGAACAAGGCUAUAAUCCAAUACAGCAACUAG
Molecule: ribosomal RNA, 558 nt
Filed under: Triticum aestivum (bread wheat)
Lineage: Eukaryota; Viridiplantae; Streptophyta; Magnoliopsida; Poales; Poaceae
Description: partial small subunit ribosomal RNA
Source: RNAcentral